Molecule: long non-coding RNA, 663 nt
Filed under: Theobroma cacao (cacao)
Lineage: Eukaryota; Viridiplantae; Streptophyta; Magnoliopsida; Malvales; Malvaceae
Description: long non-coding RNA (TCAC_LNC002536)
Source: RNAcentral
CGAGUUUCAAAACAUCAAGGAAAAAGUCUCAUUUUCCCUUAAAACAAACCAUCUUGCUAAAAUAACAAUAGCAACAUAUAACACAUGUAAACUCCCAAAUUUCAACAAAUCAAAUGCUCACAUAUUUGCAUUUACAACCAUAUACCCAUAAUCAUCAUGCACACCAUCCCAUCAUAAUUAUCAUACACACCAUCCCAUCAUCAUCAUUCCCAGCUCAUGCGCACUCCCUACUCGCACAUGGCUAGGUCAUCACCGGGUUAUGCGCACUCGCUACUCGCACAUAACUAGGUCAUCACCGGGUUAUGCGCACUCCCUCCUCGCACAUAACCGAGUCAUCAUCGACUUAUGCGCACUCCCUACUCUCACAUAGCCAAGUCAAUAUUAUUACACAAUAAUGUAUUCAUAUAUAUAUAUCAACACAAUGUGGUAGUGCAUGAAUCAAUAAUAGUCACAUGUCACAAGAUGAAGACAAUCUAUCAAAAGCUUGUUCCCAAGGCACUUGUUUUUAUGAACAGCUGGAUAAUCCAUUCAAAUGUUUGACAAAUACAUUAUAUCUCCAAAACAAGUUUUGAAAUGCAAGUCCACUCACCGGUAUUAGGAGUAGAAGUACUCCUAUUUUCAAUUCGUGAGUACAGUCUUUUACCCUAUCCAAUGGCUUACCAC